GUCUAUAGCCAUACCACCCUGAACGUGCCCGGUAUCGUCUGAUUCCGGAAGCUAAGCAGGGUUGGGCCUGGUUAGUACUUGGAUGGGAAACAAUUAUUAACUUCAAAUUCUAAAGUUA
RNAcentral lists this ribosomal RNA (118 nucleotides) under Propithecus coquereli (Coquerel's sifaka). Lineage: Eukaryota; Metazoa; Chordata; Mammalia; Primates; Indriidae. The record is from RNAcentral.